This 1346-nucleotide ribosomal RNA is filed under the name uncultured bacterium. RNAcentral's name for it is "partial 16S ribosomal RNA". It matches the Rfam family "Bacterial small subunit ribosomal RNA", at positions 28 to 1381 of the family's 1533-position model. The record is from RNAcentral.
GACGAACGCUGGCGGCGUGCUUAACACAUGCAAGUCGAACGGAAAGGCCCUGCUUUUGUGGGGUGCUCGAGUGGCGAACGGGUGAGUAACACGUGAGUAACCUGCCCUUGACUUUGGGAUAACUUCAGGAAACUGGGGCUAAUACCGGAUAGGAGCUCCUGCUGCAUGGUGGGGGUUGGAAAGUUUCGGCGGUUGGGGAUGGACUCGCGGCUUAUCAGCUUGUUGGUGGGGUAGUGGCUUACCAAGGCUUUGACGGGUAGCCGGCCUGAGAGGGUGACCGGCCACAUUGGGACUGAGAUACGGCCCAGACUCCUACGGGAGGCAGCAGUGGGGAAUAUUGCACAAUGGGCGGAAGCCUGAUGCAGCAACGCCGCGUGCGGGAUGACGGCCUUCGGGUUGUAAACCGCUUUCGCCUGUGACGAAGCGUGAGUGACGGUAAUGGGUAAAGAAGCACCGGCUAACUACGUGCCAGCAGCCGCGGUGAUACGUAGGGUGCGAGCGUUGUCCGGAUUUAUUGGGCGUAAAGGGCUCGUAGGUGGUUGAUCGCGUCGGAAGUGUAAUCUUGGGGCUUAACCCUGAGCGUGCUUUCGAUACGGGUUGACUUGAGGAAGGUAGGGGAGAAUGGAAUUCCUGGUGGAGCGGUGGAAUGCGCAGAUAUCAGGAGGAACACCAGUGGCGAAGGCGGUUCUCUGGGCCUUUCCUGACGCUGAGGAGCGAAAGCGUGGGGAGCGAACAGGCUUAGAUACCCUGGUAGUCCACGCUGUAAACGGUGGGUACUAGGUGUGGGGUCCAUUCCACGGGUUCCGUGCCGUAGCUAACGCUUUAAGUACCCCGCCUGGGGAGUACGGCCGCAAGGCUAAAACUCAAAGGAAUUGACGGGGCCCCGCACAAGCGGCGGAGCAUGCGGAUUAAUUCGAUGCAACGCGUAGAACCUUACCUGGGUUUGACAUGGAUCGGGAGUGCUCAGAGAUGGGUGUGCCUCUUUUGGGGUCGGUUCACAGGUGGUGCAUGGCUGUCGUCAGCUCGUGUCGUGAGAUGUUGGGUUAAGUCCCGCAACGAGCGCAACCCUUGUUCACUGUUGCCAGCACGUUAUGGUGGGGACUCAGUGGAGACCGCCGGGGUCAACUCGGAGGAAGGUGGGGAUGACGUCAAGUCAUCAUGCCCCUUAUGUCCAGGGCUUCACGCAUGCUACAAUGGCUGGUACAGAGAGUGGCGAGCCUGUGAGGGUGAGCGAAUCUCGGAAAGCCGGUCUCAGUUCGGAUUGGGGUCUGCAACUCGACCUCAUGAAGUCGGAGUCGCUAGUAAUCGCAGAUCAGCAACGCUGCGGUGAAUAAGGGCCCGGGGCU